Chelonia mydas (Green sea turtle) is the source of this 278-nucleotide long non-coding RNA. RefSeq lists it as uncharacterized. NCBI's taxonomy places the organism in Eukaryota, Metazoa, Chordata, Testudines, Cheloniidae. The record is from RefSeq and is a predicted model, not a curated record. The transcript is spliced from 3 exons.
AGUGUGGGAGGAAAACAGAGGCACAGAGAGGUGAAGUGAUUUGCCCAAGAUGAGUGACAGCGGUGGGAACAGAAGCAGGCCUUUUGUAAGGCUUCUCCACACGGAGCCUAAGGUGACUCACAAGCAAACAGCUACAGAUGCGGGUUUGGAGUCUAUCUGAACAGUGAUUGUAAAACCGCCCAUGCAAAACUGGCAUCAUCUCUGGACUGACAGAUCUAGAAGACAGCACAACAUUCAGGUGUGCUUGCCGAGGAGACACACCUUUCCCGCAUGACCAA